GAUGAACGCUGGCGGCGUGCCUAAUACAUGCAAGUCGAGCGAACAGAUGAGGAGCUUGCUCCUCUGACGUUAGCGGCGGACGGGUGAGUAACACGUGGAUAACCUACCUAUAAGACUGGGAUAACUUCGGGAAACCGGAGCUAAUACCGGAUAAUAUAUUGAACCGCAUGGUUCAAUAGUGAAAGACGGUUUUGCUGUCACUUAUAGAUGGAUCCGCGCCGCAUUAGCUAGUUGGUAAGGUAACGGCUUACCAAGGCAACGAUGCGUAGCCGACCUGAGAGGGUGAUCGGCCACACUGGAACUGAGACACGGUCCAGACUCCUACGGGAGGCAGCAGUAGGGAAUCUUCCGCAAUGGGCGAAAGCCUGACGGAGCAACGCCGCGUGAGUGAUGAAGGUCUUCGGAUCGUAAAACUCUGUUAUUAGGGAAGAACAAAUGUGUAAGUAACUAUGCACGUCGUGACGGUACCUAAUCAGAAAGCCACGGCUAACUACGUG
RNAcentral lists this ribosomal RNA (497 nucleotides) under uncultured bacterium. Its description in RNAcentral is "partial 16S ribosomal RNA". It matches the Rfam family "Bacterial small subunit ribosomal RNA", at positions 28 to 507 of the family's 1533-position model. The record is from RNAcentral.